Molecule: ribosomal RNA, 496 nt
Filed under: uncultured bacterium
Lineage: Bacteria
Description: partial 16S ribosomal RNA
Rfam family: Bacterial small subunit ribosomal RNA
Source: RNAcentral
AUGAACGCUGGCGGCGUGCCUAAUACAUGCCAGUCGAGCGAACAGACGAGGAGCUUGCUCCUUUGACGUUAGCGGCGGACGGGUGAGUAACACGUGGCUAACCUACCUAUAAGACUGGGAUAACUUCGGGAAACCGGAGCUAAUACCGGAUAACAUGUUGAACCGCAUGGAUCAACAGUGAAAGAAGGUCUUGCUGUCACUUAUAGAUGGAUCCGCGCCGCAUUAGCUAGUUGGUAAGGUAACGGCUUACCAAGGCAACGAUGCGUAGCCGACCUGAGAGGGUGAUCGGCCACACUGGAACUGAGACACGGUCCAGACUCCUACGGGAGGCAGCAGUAGGGAAUCUUCCGCAAUGGGCGAAAGCCUGACGGAGCAACGCCGCGUGAGUGAAGAAGGUCUUCGGAUCGUAAAACUCUGUUAUUAGGGAAGAACAAAUGUGUAAGUAACUAUGCACGUCUUGACGGUACCUAAUCAGAAAGCCACGGCUAACUACGUG